RNAcentral lists this ribosomal RNA (399 nucleotides) under uncultured Streptomycetaceae bacterium. RNAcentral describes it as "bacterial SSU rRNA". It matches the Rfam family "Bacterial small subunit ribosomal RNA", at positions 1 to 403 of the family's 1533-position model. The record is from RNAcentral. Lineage: Bacteria; Bacillati; Actinomycetota; Actinomycetes; Kitasatosporales; Streptomycetaceae.
UCUAUACUAUAGAGUUUGAUCUGNGUCAGGACGAACGCUGGCGGCGUGCUUAACACAUGCAAGUCGAACGGUGAAGCCCUUCGGGUGGAUCAGUGGCGAACGGGUGAGUAACACGUGGGUAAUCUGCCCUGCAUUCUGGGACAAGCCUUGGAAACGAGGUCUAAUACCGGAUACGACGCAUCUCCGCAUGGAGUGUGCGUGGAAAGCUCCGGCGAUGCAGGAUGAACCCGCGGCCUAUCAGCUUGUUGGUGGGGUAACGGCCUACCAAGGCGACGACGGGUAGCCGGCCUGAGAGGGCGACCGGCCACACUGGGACUGAGACACGGCCCAGACUCCUACGGGAGGCAGCAGUGGGGAAUAUUGCACAAUGGGCGAAACCUGAUGCAGCGACGCCGCGUG